Molecule: ribosomal RNA, 492 nt
Filed under: uncultured bacterium
Lineage: Bacteria
Description: partial 16S ribosomal RNA
Rfam family: Bacterial small subunit ribosomal RNA
Source: RNAcentral
GAUGAACGCUAGCUACAGGCUUAACACAUGCAAGUCGAGGGGAAACGACAUCGAAAGCUUGCUUUUGAUGGGCGUCGACCGGCGCACGGGUGAGUAACGCGUAUCCAACCUGCCCAUCACUUGGGAAUAACCUUGCGAAAGUAAGGCUAAUACCCAAUGACAUCCCACGAAGACAUCUGAAUGGGAUUAAAGAUUUAUCGGUGAUGGAUGGGGAUGCGUCUGAUUAGCUUGUUGGCGGGGUAACGGCCCACCAAGGCAACGAUCAGUAGGGGUUCUGAGAGGAAGGUCCCCCACAUUGGAACUGAGACACGGUCCAAACUCCUACGGGAGGCAGCAGUGAGGAAUAUUGGUCAAUGGGCGAGAGCCUGAACCAGCCAAGUAGCGUGCAGGAUGACGGCCCUAUGGGUUGUAAACUGCUUUUAUAAGGGAAUAAAGUGGGUCUCGUGAGACUUUUUGCAUGUACCUUAUGAAUAAGGACCGGCUAAUUCCGUG